UUUUGUAUAAACUAUUUUUUGAUAUCUCCAAUACUUUUAGAGAUAUAUCGAAAAUAGCAAAAAUCUGCUCUACAUCAGGAGCAGUUUCAUCAUUUAGAUCGCUUUUGAUCGGCACUUGAAAAUUUAUAAAUUUAUCUGUUUACCUAAUUACAUGUUUUUUUCCUGAAUGGGAAAAAUGCAUUGUGUAUCUCCAAUGGUCGGUCCAUGGGGGUAUAUGGGAUCCAUUAAAAAACCCACCGCUUGGACAGAAACACGACGACAUACUGUCACCGGAAACAACGAGGAUUAUUUCGGGAACCUAAUUACAUUGCCCAUAUUGAAGCCAUCAUAAUGGAUUUUUCAAAACGCCAGAGUGCUUUCGAGGUUAUUAGCUACAUUUGGUCACCAGCAGAAAUUUUCAAGAUUUUUUUGUAAUGGAAGGAGGGCGGCGUCCGAUUGACAGAGAAUACCUCAUAUAUGUAUAUAUACAGAGUGUCCCUGACUAUGUAGGUCAAGCUUAUAAAGAAGUAGAAGGAGUCGAAAUGAACAUAAAAGUCUAAUAUUGUCUUGAGUUAGGUUCACCAAUAAUCGAGAUAUUAUUUUUUUAAAUUAUGCGAAUGAGAGCGCGUUGAGCAUGGAAAACGGCGCGCUUUUUCUUCUUCCCUCCCUCCCCUACACACACAUACACACACAUAUACCAGGUUUGUAAAUAUGAAACAUGAAUUUGCCCAUAGCUGGCGCUAGCUGUCAAUGUAGUUACCGUCAAACCACGUCAUUGGCGCUAUUUUCUUGUUUUGACAUUUGAUAAAGAUUUUCAAUUCACAACAAUACAAGUUUCAUACAAAAGCAUAGUUUUUAAUAGCGUUGAACAUGUCGAAUUUUGUGCCUGGAAACUACGAUUUGCGGACAGCAUUGAUUUUCUGUUAUCAUUUGAAGAAAAUUGCUGCAGAAUUGCAUCAAUGCUUGUCGAAGCUUACGGUGAGCAUGCUCUUAGUAAAUCACAGUGCUUUGAGUCUAAAAAAUUCAAAAGUGGCGAUUUUGUCGUGAGAAACGGAGAACGUGGAAGAUCACCGAAAAAGUUUGAAGACAGCAAAUUGCAAGCAUUGUUGGAUGAGGAUGACGCUCAAACGCAACAACAACUUGCGGAUCAAUUAAAUGUGACACGAGAAGCCGUCUCCAUACGUUUGAAAACCAUGGGAAAGAUCCAGAAGAUGAGAAAAUAGGUUCUACAUGAACUGAAUGAAAGACAGCAGGAAAACCGAAAAACCACUUGCGAAAUGCUGCUUGCCAGAUGCAAAAGAAAGUCAUUUCUCCAUCGAAUUGUGACGCGAUGAAAAGUGGAUAUAUUUUGAGAAUCCUAAGCGAUAAAAGAUCAUGGGUAACUCCAGGUAAACCAUCGACAUCGACUACAAGGCCAAAUUGCUAUGGACGGAAGGCAAUGCUCUGUGUUUGUUGGGAUUAGAAGGGUGUGAUAUAUUAUGAACUACUAAAACCUGGCGAAACCGUUAAUACUGAACGCUACCAACAACAAAUGAUCGAUUUGCAUCAAGUUUGCGUGAAAAAUGACCAGGAUAUCAAAAAAGGCAACACAAAGUGAUUUUGCUUCAUAAUAAUGCACUAUCACACACAACAAAACCGGUCAAGGAAACAAUUGAGGCGUUUGGUUGAGAAAUACUUUCGCAUGCGGCUUACUCACCAGACUUGACUCCGAUUAUUACUUAUUUGCAUCGAUGGAACACGCACUUGCUGAACAGCGCUUCACAUCUUACGAAAAUGUACGAAAAUGGGUCGAUGACUGGUUUGCCUCAAAAGAGGAACAGGUUUUUUGGCGUGGCAUCCACAAAUUGUCAGAGAAAUGGGAAAAAUGUAUAUAGCGAUAAGCAGUACUUUGAAUAAAAUAUUUUUUAUCAUUUUUAUACAAUAAA
Long non-coding RNA from Monomorium pharaonis (pharaoh ant), 1904 nucleotides. RefSeq lists it as uncharacterized. NCBI's taxonomy places the organism in Eukaryota, Metazoa, Arthropoda, Insecta, Hymenoptera, Formicidae. The record is from RefSeq and is a predicted model, not a curated record. The transcript has 2 exons.